RNAcentral lists this ribosomal RNA (480 nucleotides) under Meganerilla cesari. Its description in RNAcentral is "partial large subunit ribosomal RNA". The record is from RNAcentral. Lineage: Eukaryota; Metazoa; Annelida; Polychaeta; Nerillidae.
AAAACAUCACUAAUAGAACCAAAAUUAUUAGCAACUCCUGCCCAAUGUGUAUUUAUAAUCAAUGGCCGCAUAAUAUGUGCUAAGGUAGCAUAAUCAAUUGCCUGUUAAUUAUAGGAUAGAAUGAAAGGACCAACGUAUAAAUACUUUAUUUAAACCAUCUUUAAAAAUUUCUAAAGUGGUCAAAAAGCUGCUACAAAGAAAAAAGACAAAAAGACCCUAAAAACUUUAAUUAAAUCAGUCUCAACUUAUCUUAUUACUUUAACACGAAAAACUUUUUGUUGGGGCAACUAAGGAAAAUAUUUAACCAUCCUUUAUAUUUUAAUUUACAUAAGCUACCAAGUUACUUUAGGGAUAACAGACUAAUAUUCUUCCAGAGACCAAAUUUAAAAGAAUGGUUGGCACCUCGAUGUUGGCUUAAAGAAAAUAUUAAAAGCAAAGUUUUAAAUAUUASGUUUGUUCACCCUUUWAUCSUUUACGUGA